AACGAACGCUGGCGGCACGCCUCAUACAUGCAAGUCGAGUGCGAAACCACCUUCGGGUGAUGUAGAGCGGCGGACGGGUGAGUAACAGGUGGAUAAUCUGCCUUCCGGAGGGGGAUAACGGCUGGAAACGGCCGCUAAUACCGCAUGUCGUUGUGGGCUACCGGAUUUCACAAAAAAAGGCGCUUCGGCGUCACCAGAAGAUGGGUCCGCCCCCCAUUAGCUAGUUGGUGUGAUAAUAGCGCACCAAGGCUGUGAUGGGUAGCCGAGCUGAGAGGUUGAUCGGCCACACUGGAACUGAGACACGGUCCAGACACCUACGGGUGGCAGCAGUAGGGAAUAUUGCGCAAUGAACGAAAGUUUGACGCAGCGAUGCCGCGUGAGUGAAGAAGGUUUUCGGAUUGUAAAACUCUUUUGUCAGGGAAGAAAUGUAGAGGGAGGUAAUGCCCUUUGCUUGACGGUACCUGGCGAAUAAGGGACGGCUAACUCCGUGCCAGCAGCCGCGGUAAUACGGAGGUCCCAAGCGUUGUUCGGAUUUACUGGGCGUAAAGGGAGCGCAGGCGGAUAGGUCAGUUUAAAGUGGAAUCCCAGGGCUCAACCCUGGAAGUGCUUUGGAUACUGCCUAUCUUGAGUUCGUGAGAGGAAAGUGGAAUUCAGGGUGUAGCGGUGAAAUGCUUAGAUAUCCUGAGGAACACCAGUGGCGAAAGCGACUUUCUGGCACGAAACUGACGCUGAGGCUCGAAAGCGUGGGUAGCGAACGGGAUUAGAUACCCCGGUAGUCCACGCCGUAAACGUUGUGUACUAGGUGCAGGAGGUAUCGACCCCUUCUGUGCCGCAGCUAACGCAUUAAGUACACCGCCUGGGGAGUACGCACGCAAGUGUGAAACUCAAAGGAAUUGACGGGGGCCCGCACAAGCGGUGGAGCAUGUGGUUUAAUUCGAGGCAACGCGAAGAACCUUACCCAGGCUUGACAUCCUAGGAGUGACCAUCUGUGAAAGCAGAUUUUCCUUCGGGACAGUCUACGAGGUGCUGCAUGGUUGUCGUCAGCUCGUGCCGUGAGGUGUCGGGUUAAGUCCCAUAACGAGCGCAACCCCUAUCUUUAGUUGCCAUCAGAUAAUGCUGGGGACUCUAAAGAAACUGCCUACGCAAGUAGUGAGGAAGGUGGGGAUGACGUCAAAUCAGCACGGCCCUUACGUCCAGGGCUACACACGUGCUACAAUGGUCGAUACAGAGGGCAGCUACCUGGUGACAGGAUGCAAAUCUCGAAAAUCGAUCUCAGUUCGGAUCGAAGUCUGCAACUCGACUUCGUGAAGUUGGAUUCGCUAGUAAUCGCAUAUCAGCCAUGAUGCGGUGAAUACGUUCCCGGGCCUUGUACACACCGCCCGUCAAGCCAUGGAAGCUGGGAGUACCUGAAGUACGUGACCGUAAGGAGCGUCCUAGGGUAAAACUAGUAACUAGGGCU
RNAcentral lists this ribosomal RNA (1459 nucleotides) under uncultured prokaryote. RNAcentral's name for it is "partial 16S ribosomal RNA". It matches the Rfam family "Bacterial small subunit ribosomal RNA". The record is from RNAcentral.